RNAcentral lists this ribosomal RNA (804 nucleotides) under uncultured Cellulophaga sp. RNAcentral describes it as "bacterial SSU rRNA". It matches the Rfam family "Bacterial small subunit ribosomal RNA", at positions 57 to 862 of the family's 1533-position model. The record is from RNAcentral. Lineage: Bacteria; Pseudomonadati; Bacteroidota; Flavobacteriia; Flavobacteriales; Flavobacteriaceae.
GCAAGUCGAGGGGUAACAGGGAGCUUGCUCCGCUGACGACCGGCGCACGGGUGCGCAACGCGUAUGCAAUCUACCUCUUACUAAGGGAUAGCCCAGAGAAAUUUGGAUUAAUAUCUUAUGUGAUAUGUGACUGGCAUCGGUUACAUAUUAAAGGUUACGGUAAGAGAUGAGCAUGCGUCUCAUUAGUUAGUUGGUAAGGUAACGGCUUACCAAGACUUCGAUGAGUAGGGGUCCUGAGAGGGAGAUCCCCCACACUGGUACUGAGACACGGACCAGACUCCUACGGGAGGCAGCAGUGAGGAAUAUUGGACAAUGGACGGAAGUCUGAUCCAGCCAUGCCGCGUGUAGGAAGACUGCCCUAUGGGUUGUAAACUACUUUUAUACAGGAAGAAUAAGAUCUACGUGUAGAUUGAUGACGGUACUGUAAGAAUAAGGACCGGCUAACUCCGUGCCAGCAGCCGCGGUAAUACGGAGGGUCCGAGCGUUAUCCGGAAUUAUUGGGUUUAAAGGGUCCGUAGGCGGGCUGUUAAGUCAGAGGUGAAAUGCUGCGGCUCAACCGUAUGCACUGCCUUUGAUACUGGCGGUCUUGAGUUAUAGUGAAGUGGCUAGAAUAAGUAGUGUAGCGGUGAAAUGCAUAGAUAUUACUUAGAAUACCGAUUGCGAAGGCAGGUCACUAACUAUACACUGACGCUGAUGGACGAAAGCGUGGGUAGCGAACAGGAUUAGAUACCCUGGUAGUCCACGCCGUAAACGAUGGAUACUAGCUGUUCGGUUUUCGGACUGAGCGGCCAAGCGAAAGUGAUA